This 1279-nucleotide unclassified non-coding RNA is filed under the name Hevea brasiliensis (rubber tree). The record is from RNAcentral. Lineage: Eukaryota; Viridiplantae; Streptophyta; Magnoliopsida; Malpighiales; Euphorbiaceae.
UGGUUUGGGCUUUUUUUUUUUUUUAGCCCUGUUGCACUUGUUCUUUGAUUUUUUUCCUUUUGUUUAUUGAACAAUGUCUAACAGGAAGAAAACAAUUACUAAAGGGAAAAUAAGUUUUAUCAGUGAAAAGCCCUCGUUACAAAUAAGUCUCGUAAAGUUUGAUGGGACCAAUUAUCUAACAUGGUUCGGAUCUUGUUUGCCUUUUUUUCAAGCUAGAGGACUGUAAGGGUUAUAUCACUGGGGAUAACUUGACACUAGAAGCCGCAAGUUCUACCUAUAAUCAAUGGGAAUCCGAUAAUUCGCUUGUGAUGUCCUGGCUCAUCAACUCCAUACAACCUUAGAUUGCAUGAAGGUAUUUACUAUUGAAUAAUGCAUCCUCAAUUUGGAAUGUAGUCUCUCAAACCUAUUUCCAAAUGGGCAACGAUGCAUAGAUUUAUGAGAUAUGGAAUAAGGUUCAUGGUACAAAGCAAGGUGAGAUGACUAUUGCACAAUAUUUUGCUGAGUUGAGUCUUUAUGGUAGGAACUAGACUAUUAUCAGGAUUUUCAGGCUAGAUGUAUUGUUGAUACUAUUAAAUUUCAGAAACUGAUUGAAAAGGAGAGCAUAAAUGCUUUCUUGCUGGAUUGAAUAUAGAGUAUAAUCAAAUAUGGGUCCAAGUGUUUGAUAAGGGUCCGUUGCCUCCCUUGAGGCAAACAUAUUCAUAUAUACAGCAGGAGAAGAGUCGUAGGAGUAUCAUGGUCCAUUCCUCCUCUGUGGACAAGGCAAGACUCAUAGCUGCCUCCUCAAAAGAAGAAUCACAGGCUCCUCACCAUGGUUCAUUGGACAAGGACCAAUUGCAUUGUGAUUACUGUGGCAAGUCUAGACAUACAAAGAAACAUUGCUGGAAAUUGUAUGGUUGCCAUCAAAGGGCAUGGUGGCAAACGAACAGGCCCUUCUAGACCAUAAGCCAAUGCAUCCGAAAUAGUAGACUUUAUUAAGGAGAGUUUUUCCAAUGAAGAAGCACAAACCCUGAGGUGUUUAUUGUCACAACUUGAGGCUCAAUCUACCACAGUUGCCUUCUCCAGUUUUGUUAAAUCAAAUAAUACAUUUCUUGCCAAUCUUGAUAAAAGUUGUUGGAUUAUAGAUUUUGGAGCAAACAAACAUAUGACUAGCUCUUCAAAUGGAUUUUCCACUUACUCUCCAUGUUAAGUAAAAGAAAAGGUCCGUAGAUGGAUCCUUAACUCCUAUUUUUGAAACAGGUUUUGUUACAUGCAUUCUUAAUAUAAAUUUCACUUUAGUUCU